Molecule: non-coding RNA, 65 nt
Filed under: Alicyclobacillus sp.
Lineage: Bacteria; Bacillati; Bacillota; Bacilli; Caryophanales; Alicyclobacillaceae
Description: Fluoride sequence
Rfam family: Fluoride riboswitch aptamer (crcB RNA motif)
Source: RNAcentral
AAAUGAAUCGGUGAUGGAGCUCACCUUAAACCGCCAACGUGUUGGCUAAUGGCUCCUGCGAAUGG